GAUGAACGCUAGCGGGAGGCCUAACACAUGCAAGCCGAGCGGGAUCUCAUGGAUAGCUUGCUCACUAACAAUGCGAGCGGCGUACGGGUGCGUAAUACGUGUGCAACCUGCCUUUAUCUGGGGGUUAGCUUUUCGAACUGACGCUAAUACCCCCUUCACCUAUCGAUUGGAAUCAGUUAAUAUUCAAAGCUCCCGCGGUUGGAUGUGGGCACGCGUAAGAUUAGCUAGUUGGUGAGGUAACGGCUCCACAAGGCUGCGAACUUUAGGGUGCAUGAGAGUGUGCUCCCCUAGACCGGAACUGAGACACGGACCAGACUGCUACGGGAGGCAGCAGUGAGGAAGAUUGGACAAUGGGGGAGAGCCUGAUCCAGCCAUCCCGCGUGAAGAACUAAGGACCUAGGGUUUGUAAACUUCUGUUAUACAAGGAUAAACCUACUAUCGUGAGGGUAGCUGAAGGUACUGUAUGAAUAAGCACCGGCUAACUCCGUG
This 489-nucleotide ribosomal RNA is filed under the name uncultured bacterium. RNAcentral describes it as "partial 16S ribosomal RNA". It matches the Rfam family "Bacterial small subunit ribosomal RNA", at positions 28 to 507 of the family's 1533-position model. The record is from RNAcentral.